Transfer RNA from Methanoculleus sp. MAB1, 111 nucleotides. It matches the Rfam family "tRNA". Rfam says of the family: Transfer RNA (tRNA) molecules are approximately 80 nucleotides in length. Their secondary structure includes four short double-helical elements and three loops (D, anti-codon, and T loops). Further hydrogen bonds mediate the characteristic L-shaped molecular structure. tRNAs have two regions of fundamental functional importance: the anti-codon, which is responsible for specific mRNA codon recognition, and the 3' end, to which the tRNAs corresponding amino acid is attached (by aminoacyl-tRNA synthetases). tRNAs cope with the degeneracy of the genetic code in two manners: having more than one tRNA (with a specific anti-codon) for a particular amino acid; and 'wobble' base-pairing, i.e. permitting non-standard base-pairing at the 3rd anti-codon position. The record is from Rfam. Lineage: Archaea; Methanobacteriati; Methanobacteriota; Methanomicrobia; Methanomicrobiales; Methanomicrobiaceae.
GCUGCGGUGGCCUAGUUGGUUAGGGCGCCAGACUCAUAGGGUUUUGAGAAGAACGGAGCGUCCGAUACCUGGGACAUCUGGAAAUCGUGGGUUCGGAUCCCACCCGCAGCA